Molecule: ribosomal RNA, 301 nt
Filed under: uncultured bacterium
Lineage: Bacteria
Description: partial 16S ribosomal RNA
Rfam family: Bacterial small subunit ribosomal RNA
Source: RNAcentral
CAGCCGCCGCGGGAAUACGAAGGGUGCAAGCGUUACUCGGAAUUACUGGGCGUAAAGCGUGCGUAGGUGGUGGUUUAAGUCCGUUGUGAAAGCCCUGGGCUCAACCUGGGAAUUGCAGUGGAUACUGGGUCACUAGAGUGUGGUAGAGGAUAGUGGAAUUUCCGGUGUAGCAGUGAAAUGCGUAGAGAUCGGAAGGAACAUCUGUGGCGAAGGCGACUAUCUGGGCCAACACUGACACUGAGGCACGAAAGCGUGGGGAGCAAACAGGAUUAGAUACCCGCGUAGUCCCUGUCUCUUAUAA